Molecule: long non-coding RNA, 531 nt
Organism: Fukomys damarensis (Damara mole-rat)
Lineage: Eukaryota; Metazoa; Chordata; Mammalia; Rodentia; Bathyergidae
Exons: 3
Source: RefSeq, a predicted model, not a curated record
UGGGCUUCGGUGUGGGCCAUCAAUUACUGUCUGUGACUUUGAGCUGAUUACUGAACCUGCCGCAUUUGAUUCAAUUUGUAUUCCUGGGCCUUAGCACAGCGGUGAGCACAAUUCAUAUUUAUUGAAUUGGAUUAGAUUUUGUAAAAUCCCUGGCUCCACAGGCAUUGCAUCAAGUAUCUUUUGCUGCAUAACAAAUUACCUCUAACAUAUGGUGGCUUCCAAUUAUUUCUUUUGAUCACGAACUGCAAUGUGAGCAGGGCAGAGGGCAGACUGGCCAUCUCUGUUUCAGGCAGCAUCAGCUGAGGGGACCUGACUAGGACUGGAAGAUACGCUUGACGAGGAAUGAACCGGACUGGAUGUGGCUACAAGAAACCCUGCCCCACUGCUCAAAAACAGAUGCGAGCAAAAGUUCCUAAAAUGUCAGGAUAUACUUGUACAUGUGGGAUGGCACAUUACAAAACAUCUAAUAUUACUACUUAAAAGUACAUUGUACUUACAUCACUGGAUAUUUGGGCAUCAGUUUUGCCUUGU